This 72-nucleotide transfer RNA is filed under the name Camelus bactrianus (Bactrian camel). It matches the Rfam family "tRNA". Rfam says of the family: Transfer RNA (tRNA) molecules are approximately 80 nucleotides in length. Lineage: Eukaryota; Metazoa; Chordata; Mammalia; Artiodactyla; Camelidae. The record is from Rfam by way of RNAcentral. RNAcentral also lists the same sequence under 2 other names.
GGAGGUAUAGCUCGGUGGUAGAGCACAUGCUUAGCCCUCACUAGGUCCUGGGUUCAAUCCGCAGUACCUCCU